Molecule: ribosomal RNA, 440 nt
Filed under: uncultured bacterium
Lineage: Bacteria
Description: partial 16S ribosomal RNA
Rfam family: Bacterial small subunit ribosomal RNA
Source: RNAcentral
CCUACGGGUGACAGCAGUAGGGAAUAUUGCUCAAUGGGGGAAACCCUGAAGCAGCAACGCCGCGUGGGGGAUGAAGGUUUUCGGAUUGUAAACUCCUUUUGGUAGAGAAGAAAAUGACGGUAUCUAACGAAUAAGCACCGGCUAACUCCGUGCCAGCAGCCGCGGUAAUACGGAGGGUGCAAGCGUUACUCGGAAUCAUUGGGGGGAAAGAGCGCGUAGGCGGGAUAGCAAGUCAGAUGUGAAAUCCUAUGGCUUAACCAUAGAACUGCAUUUGAAACUGUUAUUCUAGAGUAUGCGAGAGGUAGGUGGAAUUCUUGGUGUAGGGGUAAAAUCCGUAGAGAUCAAGAGGAAUACUCAUUGCGAAGGCGACCUGCUAGAACAUAACUGACGCUGAUGCGCGAAAGCGUGGGGAGCAAACAGGAUUAGAUACCCCUGUAGUC